CAGGCGACAGAGCAACAACUGUGAACAUGAUAAUAUUGAUAAAACAUUCCCAAAUUAACUAUGAGACGUUUUGGAAAUGCUACAAACUACUACAUACAUGAAAAUUCGUUAGUAUACGACAAAUCAAAACUGGAAAAUAUCAGUAUUAGUAGUCUUUUAGUUCGAUAAUAUUGAAUUUGUGAGAUACUAAUUAUCUAAAUUGGCAGA
RNAcentral lists this long non-coding RNA (207 nucleotides) under Mytilus galloprovincialis (Mediterranean mussel). Lineage: Eukaryota; Metazoa; Mollusca; Bivalvia; Mytilida; Mytilidae. The record is from RNAcentral.